RNAcentral lists this ribosomal RNA (457 nucleotides) under Anopheles gambiae (African malaria mosquito). RNAcentral's name for it is "eukaryotic large subunit ribosomal RNA". It matches the Rfam family "Eukaryotic large subunit ribosomal RNA", at positions 3005 to 3399 of the family's 3401-position model. Lineage: Eukaryota; Metazoa; Arthropoda; Insecta; Diptera; Culicidae. The record is from RNAcentral.
UCGCUAUCUUAACGGAAUUCCUGUGCAGUACGAGAGGAACCACAGGUUACGGACCACUGGCUCAAUACUAGUCCGACCGGACUUUGGUAUGACGCUACGUCCGCUGGAUUAUGCCUGAACGCCUCUAAGGUCGUAGCCAAUCCGAGCUGAUAGCGCUUCUCAAACCCAUUAGGUGUUCGGAAGCUAGCGGGCCUAACAACCCUCUGAGAUCCGUUGGAGUCUGCUUCUGCAGCCCGGCGUCUCAUCCCGCUAUACCUAGGCCGCAACGAGUGGAGUUCGCUGCACGUGUUAGUACCGUAACUGGGAACGCCGUUGGCUUGAGCUCUGCCCAACGUGGAUAUACCUAGUUUCGACACCUAUCAACCGCCCGCAAACGACGGGACUUCAGGCUGGGAGCUGCGAGUUGUAGAGAUGCGUUCGCAUCGAUCCUCUCAGGCGACCCAUGCUUGGUGGUUUG